This 539-nucleotide ribosomal RNA is filed under the name Staphylococcus aureus. Its description in RNAcentral is "partial 23S ribosomal RNA". It matches the Rfam family "Bacterial large subunit ribosomal RNA", at positions 837 to 1380 of the family's 2925-position model. The record is from RNAcentral. Lineage: Bacteria; Bacillati; Bacillota; Bacilli; Caryophanales; Staphylococcaceae.
ACCUGGAGAUAGCUGGUUCUCUCCGAAAUAGCUUUAGGGCUAGCCUCAAGUGAUGAUUAUUGGAGGUAGAGCACUGUUUGGACGAGGGGCCCCUCUCGGGUUACCGAAUUCAGACAAACUCCGAAUGCCAAUUAAUUUAACUUGGGAGUCAGAACAUGGGUGAUAAGGUCCGUGUUCGAAAGGGAAACAGCCCAGACCACCAGCUAAGGUCCCAAAAUAUAUGUUAAGUGGAAAAGGAUGUGGCGUUGCCCAGACAACUAGGAUGUUGGCUUAGAAGCAGCCAUCAUUUAAAGAGUGCGUAAUAGCUCACUAGUCGAGUGACACUGCGCCGAAAAUGUACCGGGGCUAAACAUAUUACCGAAGCUGUGGAUUGUCCUUUGGACAAUGGUAGGAGAGCGUUCUAAGGGCGUUGAAGCAUGAUCGUAAGGACAUGUGGAGCGCUUAGAAGUGAGAAUGCCGGUGUGAGUAGCGAAAGACGGGUGAGAAUCCCGUCCACCGAUUGACUAAGGUUUCCAGAGGAAGGCUCGUCCGCUCUGGGU